Long non-coding RNA from Loxodonta africana (African savanna elephant), 3181 nucleotides. RefSeq lists it as uncharacterized. The record is from RefSeq and is a predicted model, not a curated record. Lineage: Eukaryota; Metazoa; Chordata; Mammalia; Proboscidea; Elephantidae. The transcript has 2 exons.
UACCUUAAUUUAAAAAUACCUUUUACCAGGUGGAUUUUCAUCAUCGAUGUCAUUAUCUCAAAUUUAUUUGGUUUAAGUAUAAAUAACAUGGAAUAUCAGAAGGAAACCCAGAGAGGUAAACCACUUUGCUCAAGGUCACAUAGCUAUUGUGGAAGUUUAGAAAGUUAGAAGUAUCAUUGGACAUAAUGUAAUUGUAUGAAGGUUCAAUUUACAAUAUAAUAAAAUGUAAACAUUUAGGAAUCACUUAAAUAACAAAACUUUAAGAUGACUUUUAAAUUAGACUUUAACUCACUUUUAUCAUUGUAUGCCUCUCAGUCUAAAGGAGGACUGUGUAACACACAUGGCUAGACUGGGGAUGUUUGAGAAAUGAAGUAAUGGGCAAAAGAUCUUUAAGAUAUUAAAGAUGAAAAAGCUAUAUAGGGAACAUACUGAUCUUUAAGACAACAUAAGCAACUAUCAUGCACUUCCACAAAAUGUCCUUAGACCUCCUUGGGAGUAAAGAAGGCCUCUCUUGACUAGAUUACACUUAAACCAAAAAGCUGAGCCCUAAAAGGAUGAAGAGGAGCCAGCCAGAGGGUGGAGGGGCAGGGAGCAUUUUAAGCAGGGGGAAUGGCCUAUGACGAGGACACAGGACUGGAAAGAGUUUGUCAUGUAUAAAGAACCAAUGUAACUGGAGUACAAGGGAAUUGCACGUAAAGUUAGAGGAACAAGAAGAGUUUUAAGCAAGGGAGUGAUGUAAUCCAGAUAACAUUUUUAAACAAUGUUCCAGUUUUAUGGGAAAUAGUUUUGAAGUAGGAGAAAAAGGAAGUAGGAAACCAGUAGGAAACGUGGCAUAAUAAUCCUAGUGGGCGGUGAUGGUAGGGUGGUAGCAGUUGGGAUGAAAAGAUGGAUUUGAAAUAUAUUUUGGAAGUAUAUUUUUACUAUCUUCAGGAAUGAAAACUACAGAUCCCAAUCUCGCUACCACUUACUAUUUACAUAAGGAAGAGCCUGUAAACCAAGAAAUUGGCCAGCAAAGUGGGAAGAGAUGAAGACACUGAUCCAAAAAAAUUGAAUAGAUAGGUGGUUUGAAAAGAAAGCAACCUGUGUCACUGGUACCUUCAUCAGAGGAAAAAGGAGAGCAUGGGGAAGUAAGGUGAUCUCAAGCACAACUUAAACAGGGCAAUGGCAGCAUCCCAUUAUCUUUUCCUUGUUGCCUUUUCCUGUCCUUGCCCAUUUAUCUAUCCUGGUUCUCCUAAGUUUGAAUCCUUACCCUUCUUUUUAUUAUCAAACAGAUACGUCCAGUAUUUAUUUGAAGUUAAUUGUAUGAAUUUUUUUUUAAUAUCAAAAACUUUAUUUUCUGAUCUUCAGAAUUUCAUGUAUCAUAUUUACUGCCACUUCUUAAAUUUGGUUUUAUAUUAUCCAGUUAUUUCAUAUGUCUGUCUUGCCAGUGCAGUGCAUCUUUUGAUUUGUUGAUGCUGCUUCCAUGGCUGUUGAUUUUGGAUCCAAGUAAAAUGAAAUCCUUGACAACUUCAAUCUUUUCUCCAUUUAUCAUGAUGUUGCUCAUUGGUCCAGUUGUGAGGAUUUUUGUUUUCUUUAUGUUGAGAUGCAAUCCAUACUGAAGGUUGUGGUCUUUGAUGUUCAUUAGUAAGUGCUUCAAGUCCUCUUCACUUUCAGCAAGCAAGGUUGUGUCAUCUGCAUAACGCAGGUUGUUAAUAAGUCUUCCUCCAAUCCUGAUGCCCCGUUCUUCAUGUAGUCCAGCUUCUCAUAUUAUUUGCUCAGCAUACAGAUUGAAUAGGUAUGGUGAAAGAAUACACCCUGACGCACACCCUUCCUGACUUUAAACCAUGCAGUAUCCCCUUGUUCUGUUCGAACAACUGCCUCUUGUUCUAUGUAAAAGUUCCUCAUGAGCACAAUUAAGCAUUCUGGAAUUCCCAUUCUUUGCAAUGUUAUCCAUAAUUUGUUAUGAUCCACAUAGUCAAAUGCCUUUGCAUAGUCAAUAAAACACAGGUAAACAUCCUUCUGGUAUUCUCUGCUUUCAGCCAGGAUCCAUCUGACAUCAGCAGUGAUAUCCCUGGUUCCACGUCCUCUUCUGAAACCAGCCUGAAUUUCUGGCAGUUCCCUGUCAAUAUACUGCUGCAGCCAUUUUUGAAUGAUCUUCAUCAAAAUUUUGCUUGCAUGUGAUAUUAAUGAUAUUGUUCUAUAAUUUCCACAUUCGGCUGGAUCACCUUUCUUGGGAAUAGGCAUAAAUGUGGAUCUCUUCCAGUCAGUUGGCCAGGUAGCUGUCUUCCAUAUUUCUUGGCAUAGACAAUGAGCAUCUCCAGCGCUGCAUAUGUUUAUUGAAACACCUCAAUUGAUACUCCAUCAAUUCCUGGAGCCUUGUUUUUUGCCAAUGCCUUCAGAGCAGCUUGGACUUCUUCCUUCAGUACCAUCGGUUCCUGAUCAUAUGCCACCUCUUGAAAUGGUUGAACACAGACUAAUUCUUUUUGGUAUAGUGACUCUGUGUAUGCCUUCCAUCUUCUUUUGAUACUUCCUGCAUUGUUUAAUAUUUUCCCCAUAGAAUCCUUCACGAUUGCAACUCGAGGCUUGAAUUUUUUCUUCAGUUCUUUCAGCUUGAGAAACGCUGAGUGUGUUCUUCCCUUUUGGUUUUCCAUCUCCAGCUCUUUGCACAUAUCAUUAUAAUACUUUGUCGUCUUGAGACGCCCUUUGAAAUCUUCUGUUCAGGUCUUUUACUUCAUCAGUUCUUCUUUUGCUUUAGCUGCUUGACGUUCGAGAGCAAGUUUCAGAGUCUCCUCUGACAUCCAUCUUGGUCUGGUCUGUCUUUCUUUUUAAUCAACAGCCAUGGAAGCAGCAGUCAAGAAAUCAAAAGACUCAUUGCAUUGGGAAAAUCUGCUGCAAAGGACCUCUUCAAAGUGUUGAAGAGCAAAGAUGUCACCUUGAAGACUAAGGUGCGCCUGACCCAAGCCAUGGUAUUUUUAAUCGCAUCAUAUGCAUGUGAAAGCUGGACAAUGAAUAAGCAAGACCGAAGAAGAACUGACGCCUUUGAACUGUGGUGUUGGCGAAGAAUAUUGAAUACACCAUGGACUACCAAAAGAACGAACAAAUCUCUUACAAGUAGUACAACCAGAAUGCCCCUUAGAAGGAUGGCCAGACUGUGUGUUACAUACUUUGGACGUGUUGUCAGGAGGGAUCGGUCCCCGGAGAA